CAGUAGCCGCGGUAAUACGUAGGUGGCAAGCGUUAUCCGGAAUUAUUGGGCGUAAAGCGCGCGUAGGCGGUUUUUUAAGUCUGAUGUGAAAGCCCACGGCUCAACCGUGGAGGGUCAUUGGAAACUAGAAAACUUGAGUGCAGAAGAGGAAAGUGGAAUUCCAUAUGUAGCGGUGAAAUGCGCAGAGAUAUGGAGGAACACCAGUGGCGAAGGCGACUUUCUGGUCUGUAACUGACGCUGAUGUGCGAAAGCGUGGGGAUCAAACAGGAUUAGAUACCCGCGUAGUCCCUGUCUCUUAUAC
Molecule: ribosomal RNA, 301 nt
Filed under: uncultured bacterium
Lineage: Bacteria
Description: partial 16S ribosomal RNA
Rfam family: Bacterial small subunit ribosomal RNA
Source: RNAcentral